AUCCAGACUCCUACGGGAGGCAGCAGUGGGGGAUAUUGCACAAUGGGGGGAACCCUGAUGCAGCGACGCCGCGUGGGUGAAGGAGCGUUUCGGCGCGUAAAGCCCUAUCGGCAGGGAAGAAGGAGGACGGUACCUGACUAAGAAGCCCCGGCUAACUACGUGCCAGCACCCGCGGUAAUACAUAGGGGGCAAGCGUUAUCCGGAUUUACUGGGUGUAAAGGGUGCGUAGGCGGCCCUGCAAGUCAGAAGUGAAAUCCAUGGGCUUAACCCGUGAACUGCUUUUGAAACUGCAGGACUUGAGUGGAGUAGAGGUAGGCGGAAUUCCCGGUGUAGCGGUGAAAUGCGUAGAGAUCGGGAGGAACACCAGUGGCGAAGGCGGCCUACUGGGCUUUAACUGACGCUGAAGCACGAAAGCGUGGGUAGCAAACAGGAUUAGAUACCCCCGUAAAU
RNAcentral lists this ribosomal RNA (450 nucleotides) under uncultured bacterium. RNAcentral describes it as "bacterial SSU rRNA". It matches the Rfam family "Bacterial small subunit ribosomal RNA", at positions 329 to 794 of the family's 1533-position model. The record is from RNAcentral.